Molecule: non-coding RNA, 2903 nt
Organism: Malus domestica (apple)
Lineage: Eukaryota; Viridiplantae; Streptophyta; Magnoliopsida; Rosales; Rosaceae
Source: RefSeq, a predicted model, not a curated record
UUGUAACAACUUUACUGAUAUGAAAUCAGCUCUCAUUCUUUCUCUCUCAAAUUCUUCGUGCUUCAUUUUCCUUAGUUCUUAAGUUUCUGCAGUUUUGUUAAUAGUUUCUUCUUCUCUCUGAAAUUACCCAAUUUCAUGGUGUUCUUCUUCGGUUUCUUUCCGGAACGUCGUUUCUCAAACGUGUUGGGAUUGAAUUGUAGGUUUUGUGGAACUUAAUUGGUGCCGAUAGUUUCGUUUCGAAAUUUUGUUAAACAUGAGUGUGGUGGGGUUUGAUGUUGGAAAUGAGAAUUGUGUAAUUGCGGUGGUGAAGCAACGGGGAGUUGAUGUUUUGUUGAAUGAUGAAUCGAAACGUGAAACCCCAGCUGUGGUUUGUUUUGGUGAGAAGCAGAGGUUUCUGGGGUCUGCUGGUGCUGCCUCUGCAAUGAUGAACCCGAAAUCUACGGUGUCUCAGGUGAAGAGACUGAUCGGUAGAAAAUUUACUGAGCCUGAUGUUCAACGUGACCUUCGAAUUUUGCCCUUUGAAACUUCUGAAGCUCCAGAUGGUGGCAUUUUGAUUCAUUUGAAGUACUUGGGCGCGACUCAUACAUUUACGCCAGUUCAAGUUACAGCAAUGCUUUUUGCACAUUUGAAAGAUCUAAUAGAGAAGAAUCAGGAAAUGCCCAUUUCAGAUGUGUGAUUGGAAUUCCAUCGUACUUUACAGACUUCCAAAGACGUGCAUAUUUGGAUGCUGCCACAGUUGCUGGGUUGAAGCCUUUGAGAUUGAUGCAUGACUGUACUGCAACUGCUCAUAGUUAUGGAGUUUACAAAACAGAUUUCUCAACUUCUGGUCCAACUUAUGUGGCAUUUAUUGACAUUGGUCACUGUGAUACACAGGUCUCUAUUGCGUCAUUUGAGGCUUGGCAAAUGAAGAUACUAUCUCAUACUUUUGACAGAAGCUUGGGAGGGAGAGACUUCGAUGAGGUCUUGUUUAAUCAUUUUGCCACACAGUUCAAGGAGCAGUACAGGAUUGAUGUGUACUCUAAUGUGAAGGCAAGUAUCAGGCUACGGGCAGCAUGUGAGAAGCUGAAGAAAGUGUUGAGUGCGAAUACGGAGGCACCUCUUAAUAUUGAGUGCUUAAUGGAUGAAAAAGAUGUCAGGGGAUUUAUUAAAAGGGAAGACUUUGAGAUGCUGGCUUCAGGUUUGUUGGAGAGAAUUGGUGUUCCUUGUAGCAAAGCUCUAUCUGAUGCAGGUUUGACUGCUGAUAAGAUUCAUUCUGUGGAGCUUGUCGGGUCAGGGUCUAGGAUUCCAGCGGUUGCUAGAAUAUUAGCUUCUGUGUUCAGGAAAGAACCUGGCCGGACGCUGAAUGCGAGUGAGUGUGUAGCACGUGGAUGCGCUCUUCAAUGUGCAAUGCUCAGUCCUGUUUUUCGAGUCAGAGAACAUGAGGUUCAAGACUCAAUUCCUUUCUCAAUAGCAUUCUUAAUCGAUGAAGCUCCAAUUUGCACAGGGACAAGUGGCAUCCUGUUUCCAAAAGGCCAACCCAUUCCAAGUGUUAAAGAACUGAUGUUUCGACGAAGCAGUUUAUUUCAUUUGAAAGCAUUCUAUGCUAAUCCCAGCGAAGUGCCUGCUGGCACUUCUCCUGACAUUUGUUGUUUUACUAUUGGCCCUUUCCAAUGCUCCCAUGGCGAAAAAACAAGGGUUAAAGUUAAAGUUAUGUUAGAUCUCCACGGUGUUGUCUCUGUUGAAUCAGCUAUGGUGAUGGAAGAUCACGGAGAUGACUCUUCUACAGGGGGUCUUGCCGGUUCAAAAAUGGAACCAAUGGACACUGAUUAUGUAACUGCUUCUGGUUCUACUGAGGCAGUUGCAGAUGGAUUUGAAGAAAGCAGUAUGCAGCACAACUCUUCACAUACUGGUGGUGAGGCUAAAAGAAACAAAAAAGCCACCAGGACGCUAGAGAUACCUGUUAGUGAAAGUAUAUAUGGUGGAAUGACCAAGGCUGAACUUUCAGAAGCUCAAGAAAAAGAACUCCAGUUAGCUCAACAGGACAAAAUUAUGGAACAAACCAAAGACAAAAAGAAUGCGUUGGAGUCUUACGUCUAUGAGAUGCAAAAUAAGCUUCUCAACACAUAUCGAAGCUUUGCAAGUUAUCAAGAGAUGGAGGGCAUCUCCAGGAGCCUGCAGCAGACAGAGGAAUGGCUUUAUGAUGAUGGAGAAGAUGAAACAGAAAAUGCUUAUACUUCAAGGCUGGAAGAUCUUCAGAAGCUGGUAAAUCCAAUUGAGAACCGAUAUAAAGACAAGGAAGCAAGAUUGCAAGCUACAAGAGAUCUAUUAAAGUGCAUUGGGGAUUACCGGAUGGCUGCGAAUUCAGUUUUUAAUGAGUGCUAUAAAGUGGAGCGGUGGCUUAGGGAGAAAAACCAACAACAAGACUCGUUGCCAAAGAAUGUUGACCCAGUCUUAUGGUCAAAUGAUAUUAAGAGCAGGAAUGAGGAAUUGAAGUCGAGAUGCAACCAUGUAUUCAGAUCCAGGGCUCAAUGAUAUUGUCUUGAGCAAACUGAUGAGGUCUCAUGAAGUUAGUAAUACGGAGCAUAUAUUGCCCAAGCGCUUGCAGCAGUCAGUUGAACACUUUGUUGCUAACACAAUCCAUGAUUUUUGCUUGUCCUGAAUCCUGACCGUGUUUGCGAGUGCUUUUUGUUUUAGAGCAUCAAAUGUUGUAUAAGAGGUUUUCUUCAGGGACUGUUUUCCUUUUAUUUUUGUGGGUUUUAUUUUUGAGGGAAAGCAAGUAUUCCGAAAGCAAGAGCAGAAAUAUUGUUUGUCUCCCUUGUGCCCGAUGAAUUGCUUUGUUAUGUGCAUUUGUCAUGCAGCAAAUAAACUGCUUGUAACUUCAUGAUUGGAAGAUUUAGGAUGCUUGAAUAUAAGCCUAUUGUUAC